Molecule: ribosomal RNA, 2271 nt
Filed under: Triticum aestivum (bread wheat)
Lineage: Eukaryota; Viridiplantae; Streptophyta; Magnoliopsida; Poales; Poaceae
Description: partial small subunit ribosomal RNA
Source: RNAcentral
AUGACGGUGACACCGCAGAUCACGGUGAGCGACGGGAGGCUGGCGGUGCGCGGCCGGACGGUGCUGUCCGGCGUGCCGGACAACAUCGCCGCGGCGCACGCUGCGGGGGCUGGGCUCGUCGACGGGGCCUUCGUCGGCGCCACGGCCGCCGAGGCCAAGAGCCACCACGUCUUCACCUUCGGAACUCUCCGCGAUUGCCGAUUCAUGUGCCUGUUCCGGUUCAAGCUGUGGUGGAUGACGCAGCGCAUGGGCACCUCCGGCCGCGACGUCCCGCUGGAGACCCAAUUCAUCCUCAUCGAGGUCCCUGCCGCCGCCGGCAACGACGACGACGACUCGGACGGCGACAGCGAGCCGGUGUACCUGGUGAUGCUGCCGCUGCUGGAGGGGCAGUUCCGCACGGUGCUCCAGGGCAACGACCAAGACGAGCUCCAGAUCUGCAUCGAGAGCGGGGACAAAGCGGUGCAGACGGAGCAGGGCAUGAACAGUGUGUACGUCCACGCCGGCACCAACCCCUUCGACACCAUCACCCAGGCCGUCAAGGCCGUUGAGAAGCACAUGCAGACGUUCCACCACAGGGAGAAGAAAAAGGUGCCGUCGUUUGUGGACUGGUUCGGGUGGUGCACGUGGGACGCUUUCUACACGGACGUGACGGCCGACGGCGUCAAGCAAGGGCUCCGCAGCCUGGCGGAGGGCGGCGUGCCGCCUCGGUUCCUCAUCAUUGACGACGGCUGGCAGCAGAUCGGCAGCGAGAACAAGGAGGACCCCAGCGUCGCUGUCCAGGAAGGGGCGCAGUUCGCGAGCAGGCUCACCGGCAUCAAGGAGAACACCAAGUUCCAGAGCAAGCAUGACCAGGACGACACCCCGGGGCUGAAGCGGCUGGUGGAGGAGACCAAGAAGGAGCACGGCGUCAAGAGCGUCUACGUCUGGCACGCCAUGGCCGGCUACUGGGGCGGCGUCAAGCCGUCGGCGGCCGGGAUGGAGCACUACGAGUCGGCGCUGGCGUACCCCGUGCAGUCGCCGGGCGUCACGGGCAACCAGCCGGACAUCGUCAUGGACUCGCUCUCCGUGCUCGGCCUCGGCCUCGUGCACCCCCGCAAGGUCUACAACUUCUACGACGAGCUCCACGCCUACCUGGCCGCCUGCGGCGUCGACGGCGUCAAGGUGGACGUGCAGAACAUCGUGGAGACCCUCGGCGCGGGCCACGGCGGCCGCGUCGCGCUCACCCGCGCCUACCACCGCGCGCUAGAGGCCUCCGUCGCCCGCAACUUCCCGGACAACGGCUGCAUCUCCUGCAUGUGCCACAACACCGACAUGCUCUACAGCGCCAAGCAGACCGCCGUCGUGCGCGCCUCCGACGACUUCUACCCGCGCGACCCGGCGUCGCACACCGUCCACAUCUCCUCCGUCGCAUACAACACGCUCUUCCUCGGCGAAUUCAUGCAGCCCGACUGGGACAUGUUCCAUAGCCUGCACCCGGCGGCGGAGUACCACGGCGCGGCGAGGGCCAUCGGCGGCUGCCCCAUUUAUGUCAGCGACAAGCCUGGGAACCACAACUUCGACCUUCUCAAGAAGUUGGUGCUCCCCGACGGCUCCGUGCUCCGCGCGCAGCUCCCCGGCAGGCCCACGCGCGACUGCCUCUUCUCCGACCCGGCGCGCGAUGGUGCCAGCUUGCUCAAGAUAUGGAACAUGGACAAGUGCGCCGGCGUGGUGGGGGUGUUCAACUGCCAGGGCGCGGGGUGGUGCCGCGUCGUCAAGAAGACGAGGAUCCACGACGAGGCGCCCGGGACGCUCACCGGCUCGGUGCGCGCCGAGGACGUGGAGGGCAUCGCUCAGGCCGCCGGCACCGACGACAGGGGCGGUGACGCCGUGGUGUACGCGCACCGGGCGGGGGAGCUCGUGCGGCUGCCCCGGGGCGCCACGCUGCCGGUGACGCUCAAGAGGCUCGAGUACGAGCUGUUCCACGUCUGCCCCAUCCGCACCGUGGCGCCGGACGUGUCCUUCGCGCCCAUCGGGCUGCUCCACAUGUUCAACGCCGGCGGCGCCGUCGAAGAAUGCACCGUCAAGACGGACGAGGACGACAAGGCCACUGUGGCGCUCAGGGUGCGCGGCUGCGGCCGGUUUGGCGCGUACUGCUCGCGGAGGCCGGUGAAAUGCUCCCUCGACUCGGGUGACGUGGAGUUUGGCUACAACACCGAGAAUGGGCUCGUCACGGUCGAUGUGCCGGUCCCGGAGAAGGAUAUGUACCGGUGGACGUUGGAGAUUCGGGUCUAG